This is a long non-coding RNA of Cuculus canorus (common cuckoo), 2184 nucleotides long. RefSeq lists it as uncharacterized. The transcript is spliced from 3 exons. The record is from RefSeq and is a predicted model, not a curated record. Lineage: Eukaryota; Metazoa; Chordata; Aves; Cuculiformes; Cuculidae.
GUUUGAAGGGUGCAGUGUAUUAUGUGUUGCCUCAGCCAUUUGUAACUGAAUUCCUGAAGUUGCAGAAGCAUUAGUCUGAGCAUUCUUCACAUUCACUGAAGUGAAAGAAAAAAUCAUUGAUGUCUUGAAGUCUGCUACAUCAAGACAAUGUCCAUGAUGUAAAAGGAGGCUGAAGCACACAAAAGAGGAUCAACUUAGCAAAUAGAUGCUGACGUCACAACACUUGGACUUCAGAACAUCCAAAUUCUGCAGCUGGUCAAGAUGCCGUUCAGAAUGAAGAAUUGAAGCAUGGGGACUUCAUCACAAAACAUAAAAGUGACUUAAAAAUCUACUCAUGGCACACGAAGUAGAAGCAUGGCCAAAGAGAGAUGUGGUUACUUUUUGAUCUACCUUUUCCAACAUUCAUAGUCUCAUGGUGUGGAUAGUCGUGGGGACACCUGGUUAGUACAAUGUCAGCAUAUCAGUUAUGUUGAGGCCAUUCAGGAAGACUGAUGGCAGAGUCUACAAUUACUUGUUCUAUUUAUGUUCCUACACCAGAGGCAGUUAGACAGUUCCAGUCCUUCAAAAUGUUAACUGACUUAUCAAAGUAGCUUGGAGAAGCUAGAAUCAUAGAAUCAUUAAGGUUGGGAAAGACCUCUAAGUAAUCAUCCAACUCAAAUGUCAGCCUAAUACUGCCAUGCCUGCUAAAUCAUGUCAUGGAAUUCCACAUUUACAUGUUUUUUGAACACCUCCAGGGAAACAUACUCCACUGCUUUGACCACUCUUUUGAUAAAGAUUUUUUUUUCUAGUAUCCAACCUAAACAAGCUGUUCUACAAGUCUACCUUGAGAAUAAAAUGGCAAGGGAUCCUAUUCACUCCAAAAGCUUUGGAAAGAUUAUUUCCUGCUGAGCUUUCAGUUAUGUACAAACCCUGAGGUCUCAAAACACAGCGAGUGGCAAAUUUACUACUUAAGAUUCCUUAACAGACAAACUAAAAAACUCUGGAAAAAUAACAGAUGAACAUCAACUGAAAUCGCAUGGAUAUCCAAGCAUGUUGUUCAGGCAAAGUCAGCUGGUGGAGUGACUGAGAAUCAGUUUUCAGAGUCUUCAGAAAAAUGGUGAGAAAUGAAGCUUCCGAUGCAUCAUCUUGUAUACAACAAAAUCUUUUACAAGACUGAAACCACAGAAGAUGAGUAAGCUUCAGAGUUUAGCGUUUAAAUAUUUGGAAAAGGAUUAAUUGGAGAGCAUGAACAGUGGAGAGAGGACCUGGAGAAAGACAGUCCAUAGCCAGACAUUUGAUAUUUUAGACAGGAAAUAUCACCACCUAAUUCUCUGUCCAUUUUUUAAAAGAUAGUGCCAUAGAAAACAAGAAAACAUUUUAAAAGUUUUCCUGUCUUCCUUAGCCAUCUGCUGAGCAAAAGGAAAUGGUAACUUGGAUUUAAUUCAUGCUAAUGGGAGAACCAUUCCUAAUGAAGAUGGACAUGUGAAUCUUCUUCAGCCAUGCUGGAAAGAAAAUUAAAUCAUCACUAAAAUAUUUUCUUAUAGGCAUCUUCGCUAUAAAAUAUUUGAAGCAUUAUGUUCAAAGCAGGUUUACAUUACGUAAACAAACUAACAUUCUUCUUCCCUAAGGCAAAAGAAAUCAUGAGUGCCACUGUUCUUAGAUUUUUAUUUAUUAAUAGCUAGAACUUCAAAUGUAAUGAAUUUGUCAAGAAAACUAAAGAGUAUCUCUAAAACUAUAGCAGUGUUUUUAUGCUCUGGGGAAAGAUUGCCUCAGUAUUUUUCUAAUACACCUAUCUUUCAGGUCAGUGAUCCAUGAACUUGGAAGAAUUUUCAAAUAAGCCACCGAGAGCUUAAAAGGAGCUUUUUGUCUGUUGUGUCAACCAGCACAUCUGAAAUAACGUCGCAGUGUUUAAUGUGACACAUUAUAUUGGGCUGCAUGAUUUUUGUGGCAAACCUGGAGUUAGUCUGGUCUUUUACAAGGGUAACUUAAGCAAUAUCCCAUUUUCUACUCUGGCCAACAGCUUCAGCUUCCCAGCUUCAAAUAAAAAAUGAUGUUCAAAGUUAAAUUAGAGAGAAUUUUUCAGAAUCAAUCUAACAUUGUAAAGAAAAUCAGGAUGCUAACAUGUGAGACCAAAUCUCUGCACAAAAUUAUUAUAUACUUUUAUCUUUAGAUUGAACAACUGUGCUCCUCUGAUUUUGAGUUGAA